This 467-nucleotide ribosomal RNA is filed under the name uncultured bacterium. RNAcentral's name for it is "partial 16S ribosomal RNA". It matches the Rfam family "Bacterial small subunit ribosomal RNA", at positions 28 to 507 of the family's 1533-position model. The record is from RNAcentral.
GACGAACGCUGGCGGCGUGCUUAACACAUGCAAGUCGAACGGAAAGGCCUCCUUUGCGGGGUGCUCGAGUGGCGAACGGGUGAGUAACAGGUGAGUAACCCGCGCUUGAUCUUGCGCCAACUUCAGGAAAAGGGGGGUAAUCCCGGACAGAUGCCCGUGAUGACUGGAGGGGGGUGGAAAGUUUCGGCGGUUGGGGUUGGACUCGCGGCGAAUCAGCCUGUGCGUGGGGUAGUGGCUGACCGGGGCUUUGACGGGUAGCCGGCCUGCGAGGGUGAGCCGCCGCAUUGGGACUGAGACCCGGCCCAGGCUCCUACGGGAGGCAGCGGUGGGGAAGAGUGCACCAGGGGUGGCAGCCUGGUGCGGCAACGCCGUGUGCGGGAGGACUGCCUUCGUGUUGUAAGCCGCGUUCGCUCAUGACUAAGCUUUGUGUGACGGUAGUGGGUAAAGAAGCACCGGCUAACUACGUG